RNAcentral lists this ribosomal RNA (434 nucleotides) under uncultured bacterium. RNAcentral's name for it is "bacterial SSU rRNA". It matches the Rfam family "Bacterial small subunit ribosomal RNA", at positions 30 to 464 of the family's 1533-position model. The record is from RNAcentral.
AUUGAACGCUGGCGGCAUGCCUUACACAUGCAAGUCGAACGGCAGCACGGGAGCUUGCUCCUGGUGGCGAGUGGCGAACGGGUGAGUAAUACAUCGGAACGUACCCUGAAGUGGGGGAUAACGUAGCGAAAGUUACGCUAAUACCGCAUAUUCUGUGAGCAGGAAAGAGGGGGAUCGCAAGACCUCUUGCUUUAGGAGCGGCCGAUGUCGGAUUAGCUAGUUGGUGAGGUAAAGGCUCACCAAGGCGACGAUCCGUAGCGGGUCUGAGAGGAUGAUCCGCCACACUGGGACUGAGACACGGCCCAGACUCCUACGGGAGGCAGCAGUGGGGAAUUUUGGACAAUGGGCGCAAGCCUGAUCCAGCCAUGCCGCGUGAGUGAAGAAGGCCUCGGUUGUAAAGCUCUUUCGGUGGGGUAAGGAAAGUUAGCACAGGA